This 488-nucleotide ribosomal RNA is filed under the name Salmonella enterica subsp. enterica serovar Liverpool. RNAcentral's name for it is "bacterial SSU rRNA". It matches the Rfam family "Bacterial small subunit ribosomal RNA", at positions 27 to 504 of the family's 1533-position model. Lineage: Bacteria; Pseudomonadati; Pseudomonadota; Gammaproteobacteria; Enterobacterales; Enterobacteriaceae. The record is from RNAcentral.
GAUUGAACGCUGGCGGCAGGCCUAACACAUGCAAGUCGAACGGUAACAGGAAGCAGCUUGCUGCUUYGCUGACGAGUGGCGGACGGGUGAGUAAUGUCUGGGAAACUGCCUGAUGGAGGGGGAUAACUACUGGAAACGGUGGCUAAUACCGCAUAACGUCGCAAGACCAAAGAGGGGGACCUUCGGGCCUCUUGCCAUCAGAUGUGCCCAGAUGGGAUUAGCUKGUUGGUGAGGUAACGGCUCACCAAGGCGACGAUCCCUAGCUGGUCUGAGAGGAUGACCAGCCACACUGGAACUGAGACACGGUCCAGACUCCUACGGGAGGCAGCAGUGGGGAAUAUUGCACAAUGGGCGCAAGCCUGAUGCAGCCAUGCCGCGUGUAUGAAGAAGGCCUUCGGGUUGUAAAGUACUUUCAGCGGGGAGGAAGGUGUUGUGGUUAAUAACCGCAGCAAUUGACGUUACCCGCAGAAGAAGCACCGGCUAACUCC